CGGGACGGGUGAGUAAUGUCUGGGAACUGCCUGAUGGAGGGGGAUAACUACUGGAAACGGUAGCUAAUACCGCAUAACGUCGCAAGACCAAAGAGGGGGACCUUCGGGCCUCUUGCCAUCGGAUGUGCCCAGAUGGGAUUAGCUAGUAGGUGGGGUAACGGCUCACCUAGGCGACGAUCCCUAGCUGGUCUGAGAGGAUGACCAGCCACACUGGAACUGAGACACGGUCCAG
RNAcentral lists this ribosomal RNA (232 nucleotides) under uncultured bacterium. RNAcentral's name for it is "partial 16S ribosomal RNA". It matches the Rfam family "Bacterial small subunit ribosomal RNA", at positions 100 to 334 of the family's 1533-position model. The record is from RNAcentral.